CCUACGGGUGGCAGCAGUGGGGAAUAUUGCACAAUGGGCGCAAGCCUGAUGCAGCCAUGCCGCGUGUGUGAAGAAGGCCUUCGGGUUGUAAAGCACUUUCAGCGGGGAGGAAGGCGGUGAGGUUAAUAACCUCAUCGAUUGACGUUACCCGCAGAAGAAGCACCGGCUAACUCCGUGCCAGCAGCUGCGGUAAUACGGAGGGUGCAAGCGUUAAUCGGAAUUACUGGGCGUAAAGCGCACGCAGGCGGUCUGUCAAGUCGGAUGUGAAAUCCCCGGGCUCAACCUGGGAACUGCAUUCGAAACUGGCAGGCUAGAGUCUUGUAGAGGGGGGUAGAAUUCCAGGUGUAGCGGUGAAAUGCGUAGAGAUCUGGAGGAAUACCGGUGGCGAAGGCGGCCCCCUGGACAAAGACUGACGCUCAGGUGCGAAAGCGUGGGGAGCAAACAGGAUUAGAUACCCCUGUAGUC
Molecule: ribosomal RNA, 465 nt
Filed under: uncultured Klebsiella sp.
Lineage: Bacteria; Pseudomonadati; Pseudomonadota; Gammaproteobacteria; Enterobacterales; Enterobacteriaceae
Description: bacterial SSU rRNA
Rfam family: Bacterial small subunit ribosomal RNA
Source: RNAcentral